RNAcentral lists this ribosomal RNA (227 nucleotides) under Escherichia coli. RNAcentral describes it as "partial 16S ribosomal RNA". It matches the Rfam family "Bacterial small subunit ribosomal RNA", at positions 1 to 224 of the family's 1533-position model. Lineage: Bacteria; Pseudomonadati; Pseudomonadota; Gammaproteobacteria; Enterobacterales; Enterobacteriaceae. The record is from RNAcentral.
AAAUUGAAGAGUUUGAUCAUGGCUCAGAUUGAACGCUGGCGGCAGGCCUAACACAUGCAAGUCGAACGGUAACAGAAAGCAGCUUGCUGCUUUGCUGACGAGUGGCGGACGGGUGAGUAAUGUCUGGGAAACUGCCUGAUGGAGGGGGAUAACUACUGGAAACGGUAGCUAAUACCGCAUAAUGUCGCAAGACCAAAGAGGGGGACCUUCGGGCCUCUUGCCAUCGG